GCACUCUCGAACAAAAUUCUUAUUUGUCAAGGGACCUCAGGUUACUGGCCUCUCCGUUUCCAAGUGCCAAAACCUCAAAUAUACUCCCGACAUUCUUAAGCAUAUCCUCCCUAUUAGAUGCUACUUGUUCCUUGAGAGUGGCUUAACCUAUGGCAAACAGUAAACCUUUUUAUUAGUGAACGGAUGCUUUCUUUGUCGCCUUCUGCUACACUGUAAGAAACGGAUGCUCUUAAUGCUUUUGUGUUGUGCAAGGAGGUAUCAAACGUUUAUGUUCAUCAAUGAAUUACGUACUUCCUUCUAUGCUGAUCUUCCUGAUGCAUCAACAUCCUUUGGUUCAAUUCUGCAAAUCUAUCUGAAGGCUUUUAAACCCACACCACGUAUCUAUAGUCGAAAGCUUUACAUUGUCUGUGAAUUUGGGCAGGUUGAGGAGCGUUCUAUUCCAAUUCAAGAAUUACUUGAUGCUGACGAAGUUUUCUGCACUGGAACCGCAGUUGGUGUUGCUCCUGUAGGAAGUAUUACAUACAUGGGUAACAGGUGAGUUCCAACUCCUUAUUUGAAGGGAUGUUACAUUGUUGUAUAUAAUCAACUCCUACUGGAAAACGAUGCUAGGACCUAAGAUUACGUUAAUAAGUAGCAAUAAACGGCAAUGAUUAUAGACCUGAUGGGAGCCAAUGAAGAUUAAAAUUGAUUUAGAAGGGGAGUCGAAGAUUGAAUUGUCCCCCAAGAUACCAUACCUCUUAGGCCCAUUUAUGACCCCAUGCAACAACUUUAACUUUUCAGCUGCGUAUAAGCACAUUUGACAGCAAAUAAACGUCCUUCGUUGCAUUAAAUGUAGUCCCUUUUAAGCUUUAACAGCUUGUUUUGAAGGGCCUCUCAUAGCUGGAACUCCACUCUUCGGCGCUGGAAGAACAGCUAAGUUUAGAGAUUUGGUGAGAAGUUUGCCUAUNAUGCUCAAGGUAUUCAUCACCUAAUUGUCUCGUGUAAGUUGUUCAGCAGAUGUGUCGGCAUGCCAUGCAUUUAACUCUUGUUCACAACGCUGUACAACCUAUUAUAUUUUUUAUCUAUUGGCAUAAUAUCAGCUGGAUCAAGUUUCACUGAUUAUAUGUUUCCACGCAGCACUUUGUAGGGUUAUAAUACCAGUUGAAUGUGCCCUACAAAUAAUAUUGGUUCGUAACUAAUGAUACUAUUGACUUUAGGUGACUCAUGAAUUGCUUUUCUGUUUACAGGACAAUGUUAUCUCCACUCCGCCCACCAAUGGUACUAUUCUUGAAGGAAUUAUGCGUCUUGGUUAUCAGGUGAUCAGUGGGAUUUUUUAGGGGGUAAUCCAUGGAUCUCAUGCUGUUUAAUGUCGGGCUAACAUUUAACUCUGGUUCUGGCAACACAAGCUUAACUCGUGGUGGAAUGUGUUAGUAUCACUUAGCAAAUCCUGGUAUUAUAGGAUGCAAUGGAGUUUUGGGUAACAUUAAACAUUAUAAAGUUCAACUCGUUCGGAAAUUUUUAUGCAGAUAGCAUAUUGAGAGAAUCCAAAAUGCCUGGCUGAAAAAGUAUCCAGGCCAGUUUGCUGUCCAUCAUUGUUAGCAAUAGGAUAAUCUUUGUCUUUGUAGAUUUUUUACGAUAACCGCUUUUCAUUGAAGCACUCUCGAACAAAAUUCUUAUUUGUCGAGGGACCUCAGGUUACUGGCCUCUCCGUUUCCAAGUGCCAAAACCUCAAAUAUACUCCCGACAUUCUUAAGCAUAUCCUCCCUAUUAGAUGCUACUUGUUCCUUGAGAGUGGCUUAACCUAUGGCAAACAGUAAACUUUUUUAUUAGUGAACUUGCUCCUCUAAAUGGCUCCAAACUAUAAACAUAUGUCAGAUCUUUUACCGGAAGCUAGGGAAAUUUUCUUCCGAUAUCUAAUUCAACAUUUUUUUUGCCACUUAUUACAAUUUAAA
Molecule: long non-coding RNA, 1931 nt
Filed under: Salvia miltiorrhiza (redroot sage)
Lineage: Eukaryota; Viridiplantae; Streptophyta; Magnoliopsida; Lamiales; Lamiaceae
Description: long non-coding RNA (SMIL_LNC005335)
Source: RNAcentral